Long non-coding RNA from Talpa occidentalis (Iberian mole), 1084 nucleotides. RefSeq lists it as uncharacterized. NCBI's taxonomy places the organism in Eukaryota, Metazoa, Chordata, Mammalia, Eulipotyphla, Talpidae. The record is from RefSeq and is a predicted model, not a curated record. The transcript is spliced from 3 exons.
CAAAUGAACCCUUGGAACUGGAGAGACCCAGAUAUAGCUCCAAGACAAAGUUCCUCCAUUACCACGUGAAAAUCUCCCCCAGAAAAGGAAUCUGCCUGCUAUUUUAAUGUGACACAUGACCAGGUACAUGGAGCCAGUGCGGAGACACCAUAUUGCCGCCUCCUGAUCAGCAGCUGACACCCCUGAAGUCCCCUUUUCUCCAGCUCUUCGCAUUUUGUGCUUAAAAGAGGAGGCCCAGCCUCUGCUAAGUUUGCCUUGCUUUGUGGCGCUGGCCCCAAGGGACCAUCUUCUUUGACUCAAGUGACUCAAGAUAACUGAAAAACAACCAUUAUUGAUGACACACACAUCACCUCUUAGUGCUUUGUGAAAAGGAGUUGUUCAAAGAAAGGAUUUGAUUUCUCAGUUUGUUCUUCAUGUAUUUAGAAGUUAUAUGAAUAGGGACAUACACAGUCAACCUUCAAAGAAGGAAGCAUUCAGCAGAUGACUUCUGUGGGAUUCAGUAGACCUCCAGAUCUCUGGAGACCCAAGUAGACCUUCCAGACUUCCACAGAGACUCAGCUUCUGUACCUGUCUCAGGCCAUGCCUCUGAAAUCACUGCCAAUGAGCACCCUUGACUUGGGUCCAAUGUCUCAAAGAGUUGUUGACUAUUGGUUCAUACCAAUAACUCAAAAACAGCUGUAGCACCUGUUGUCUCUGACACCACCUCUUGGUGACCAGCACUGAGUGACACUACUGAUUGGUGAGCAGCACUAUGCUUGGCCACCUUGGAGAGCUGUCCACUGCCUCUGGUUAUCUGGCACCACCUCUUGAUGCUGUUGAGUCUGUUGCUGUCUGUCCUGUAUUUGGUACUGUCCAGCCUGGCUUUCAGACUGUUGCUGUGGGUUGCUGGGGUGUCAUCUGAGCAGCCCUACUGGUGAGCACCUCCAGCUGCCACCGUGAGUAGGACCCUGGUGCCUGGCUGACCAGUGUGCCACUAGCUCCAGGCUCUUGUUGAUGGAAUGGUGACAUCUUGCAUGAGCAGAAUUUGUUUGGUCUACUGGAAACUGAACAAUGUCUAAGGUGAGACAGUGGGCCAUUUGCGGCC